Molecule: ribosomal RNA, 322 nt
Filed under: uncultured eukaryote
Lineage: Eukaryota
Description: partial 18S ribosomal RNA
Rfam family: Eukaryotic small subunit ribosomal RNA
Source: RNAcentral
CCCUUAGAUGUUCUGGGCCGCACGCGUGCUACACUGAGUAAUUCAAUGGGUAAGGGAACGCUAGAGCAUUACCUAAUCUUGAAAUUUGCUCGUGAUGGGGAUCGUCGGUUGCAAUUUUCCGUCGUGAACGAGGAAUACCUUGUAGGCGCAUGUCAUCAUCAUGCGCCGAAUACGUCCCUGCCCUUUGUACACACCGCCCGUCGCUCCUACCGAUUGAGUGAUCCGGUGAGGCUCUGGGACCUGGACGGAAAGAGCGUUUCGCUUGUUCUGUUUGGGAAACUUGGUCGAACCUUAUCAUUUAGAGGAAGGAGAAGUCGUAACA